AGCAUGUGUCUAUUCUUGAUUGUUGUUGAUGUUGCAUUGCUAGAUGAUUAGCAUGCAUAUUGUGGCCUUCGGGUGGUAGCUAAUUCCCAUGGUGAGGAAUUAGUGAGUAAAUCAUUUUGAUUGUUGUUGUUGAUGUUUGCAUGCUAGGUGAUUAGCGUGCAUUUCAUGGCCCAUUUGGGGUGGUAGCUAAUUCCCAUGGUGAGGAAUUAGUGAGUGAGUCACUA
This 224-nucleotide long non-coding RNA is filed under the name Lathyrus oleraceus (garden pea). RNAcentral describes it as "Pisum sativum (pea) long non-coding RNA (PSAT_LNC002516)". The record is from RNAcentral. Lineage: Eukaryota; Viridiplantae; Streptophyta; Magnoliopsida; Fabales; Fabaceae.